Molecule: non-coding RNA, 31 nt
Filed under: Mus musculus (house mouse)
Lineage: Eukaryota; Metazoa; Chordata; Mammalia; Rodentia; Muridae
Source: RNAcentral
UUCAAGCCUUUCAGGGUUUGUGGCAAAUUGU